This 450-nucleotide ribosomal RNA is filed under the name uncultured Glomus. RNAcentral describes it as "SSU rRNA". It matches the Rfam family "Eukaryotic small subunit ribosomal RNA", at positions 569 to 1024 of the family's 1831-position model. Lineage: Eukaryota; Fungi; Glomeromycota; Glomeromycetes; Glomerales; Glomeraceae. The record is from RNAcentral.
AGCAGCCGCGGUAAUUCCAGCUCCAAUAGCGUAUAUUAAAGUUGUUGCAGUUAAAAAGCUCGUAGUUGAAUUUCGGGGUCAGCAGGUUGGUCGUGCCAAUGGUAUGCACUGGCCUUGCUGAUUCCUCCCUCUUGUAGAACCGUAAUGCCAUUAAGUUGGUGUUGCGGGGAAACAGGACUGUUACUUUGAAAAAAUUAGAGUGUUUAAAGCAGGCUAACGCCUGAAUACAUUAGCAUGGAAUAAUGAAAUAGGACGAUCGAUCCUAUUUUGUUGGUUUCUAGGAUUGACGUAAUGAUUAAUAGGGAUAGUUGGGGGCAUUAGUAUUCAAUUGUCAGAGGUGAAAUUCUUGGAUUUAUUGAAGACUGACUACUGCGAAAGCAUUUGCCAAGGAUGUUUUCAUUAAUCAAGAACGAAAGUUAGGGGAUCGAAGACGAUCAGAUACCGUGUAGU